This 465-nucleotide ribosomal RNA is filed under the name uncultured bacterium. RNAcentral describes it as "partial 16S ribosomal RNA". It matches the Rfam family "Bacterial small subunit ribosomal RNA", at positions 28 to 507 of the family's 1533-position model. The record is from RNAcentral.
GACGAACGCUGGCGGCGUGCUUAACACAUGCAAGUCGUACGGUAAGGCCCUUUCGGGGGUACACGAGUGGCGAACGGGUGAGUAACACGUGAGUAACCUGCCCACAACUUUGGGAUAACGCUAGGAAACUGGUGCUAAUACUGGAUAUGUGCUCCUGCUGCAUGGUGGGGGUUGGAAAGCUCCGGCGGUUGUGGAUGGACUCGCGGCCUAUCAGCUUGUUGGUGGGGUAGUGGCCUACCAAGGCGGCGACGGGUAGCCGGCCUGAGAGGGUGACCGGCCACAGUGGGACUGAGAUACGGACCAGACUCCUACGGGAGGCAGCAGUGGGGAAUAUUGCACAAUGGGCGCAAGCCUGAUGCAGCAACGCCGCGUGCGGGAUGACGGCCUUCGGGUUGUAAACCGCUUUCAGCAGGGACGAAGCUUUUUGUGACGGUACCUGCAGAAGAAGCACCGGCUAACUACGUG